Mya arenaria is the source of this 2559-nucleotide long non-coding RNA. RefSeq lists it as uncharacterized. The record is from RefSeq and is a predicted model, not a curated record. NCBI's taxonomy places the organism in Eukaryota, Metazoa, Mollusca, Bivalvia, Myida, Myidae. The transcript has 3 exons.
UUUACCUAAUAGUAUUUUUAAUAGAUGUCGUUCAGUUACUACAGAUCGAAAGCAAAGAAAAAUGAGCUAAUAUUUAUAAAAAUAAUGGAUUUAAAGAUUAAAUGUUACCACAAAUCGUUUAUUAUGACAUUAAUUUUCAAUUUCACCAAAAAUACAGUCAUCAAUUUGACAGGAACAGCAAAAAUGGACGACCUAAUCACACUGUCCGAAUAUGUGUCAACUUGCAAGUGCUAAGCGAAAUGGAACAGAAUUUAAAAACGAGAUAUUUAUUAUAUAUACUUUAAACAUAUAUUGGCAGAUGUUACAGUAUCUUAUUCUUAGUUAAAAUGUAAUAUUUACUAUCGGAAACAGUGAGACUACUGUAUUUCGAACAUUAUAAAAUUAGUUCUGUACCUUCAGUUUAAAGGGCUUGUAUCAGAAAUCUCUUGGGUUUGGAAAAUAGUCUCAGUUUGGUACAUGGGCUCAAAUGCAGUUUUAAAUAGUUACGUUUUGGAGUCUGGAAAACAUUCUCGUAAGAUAUGGGGGCUCAUAUGCAGAUUUAUAGACAGUUACGUUCUGGAGUCUGGUAAACUGUCUCACAAGAAAUGGUGGCCAAUAAAUGCAGAUUAAUAGACAGUUACGUUCUAGAGUCUGGAAAACAGUCUCAUUAAAUAUUGGGGCCUAUAUAUGCAAAGAGCUCAAAUACAGUUUAAGACAGUUACGUUCUGGAGUCUUAAAAACAGUCUCACAAGAUAUGGGGGCCAAUAUGCAGAUUUAUAGACAGUUACGUUCUGGAAUCUGGAAAACAGUCUCACAAGAAAUGGGGGCCAAUAUGCAGAUUUAUAGACAGGACUAAUGGUGUAUAUCCAUAUACAAGCUGAAUAAAACAAGGAAAGGCAAUUCUAAACAGAUAUAUUGGACAGAUGGAGGAGCAUAUAAAUUGUACAAUGUGUUCCUGGAGCCGCUGUUUUUGACGAGACAAUGCAACAAUACUGUGGAUAGAUGUGGCAUAAUCUCCCUAUUCAAGCCAGCUUAGAUUUUUACACAAUCUAGGAAUAUAGUUCUAAAUCUAUCACUUCCUAAUAUCACAAUUAAGAUUGUGAAAAUAACUAUGAUGACAUUCUACAAUUGCAGCUAAAUAUUUAUCCACAAUGUUUAUGGGGAAAAAUUGUUGCUGAAUUUGAUAAUAAGGCUGAUCACUUUAGUUACUUGAUAACUUUAGUCACAUUGUUAAAUUACAACCUUUUGAUUUUAGGUGCUGAAAUUGGCCACUUGACUAUUUUAUGUAUUUGUGUAUUUGAUACUUGUAUCAGUUAUUCUGAAAUUGUCAGUUUGCUUAGUCACACCUUUGUAAAGGACUUUGAUGUAUAAAAUGCCUGCCCUUGAACAUAACAAUAUUUAUAUCUCACCAAAACCUUUGCAAUGUUUAUUGGUAUAAUGUUUCUCUAUAGUAAAUGUCCUACAAUGUAAAUUGACCUUGUAAGAUUUCUUUUUGACCAAAUCUAUUUCCAUAUUGUGAUGAAUUUGAAUUAAACUGAUGUCCAAUCUUUAAAUCUUUAAAUAAAACUAUUGCGAAUUGUUAAUUUAUUGUCCAAUUGUCUUUAUUAUCAUAUAGAAAAUAGUGAGUUAUUCUUAUUUUUUAUCACAGUUGUGGAAUCAAUUGGGGAUUGGCAUGGUUUACUGAGCAUUAGAAGGGACAUUAUGAUGAAAGAUAUUAGAAGUCUAGUGCAUAGUGCUUGAUGUUAAAAUUUCUUUGAUGAUAUAGUUUAUUAUAUGUGAUUAUUUUUUGUGGAUAAUAUUUGUUACCUUUCUUGAAGUAUGAUUACACCUUAAGUAUGAACGGUCAUUGGCUUAUUGAGUGUUGUUGUGUCCUCAGUGACACUUCACAUUUCAUGAGAAAAUAUAAUAUUUCAGAAAUGUAAACAUGAACAAAUAUAAUAUGUCUUGUACUAUAAUAUGAAUGGUUUAUGCUUUAAUAAAAAAAUAGCUAUGUAAAACCACAACUUGCACUGUAUACUAUUUUGAGCACAAACAAUUCAAAUAUAUUUAUGUACCUAUAAACAAUUAUAACCCUUGACAUAGCACCAUUUAUUUAGUGAUAGGAAAAUCAAGGAGUAUUCCACACUGUACAUACAUAGGAAUACUAGAUGUACAUGUACAAACAUAACAUGACAGAAAAAUUAACCCUGUACUGAUUUAAGUGAAACUAUUAUUUUAAACCAAUACAUACACUUGUAUAACAAGCAUACUUUUUGAAUGAUAAACCUUUAACUAUUUACUAAAUAAUGCAUUUAUGGAAAACAUUGAUUACUUAUAACAAGAUUGUAACCAUGUAUUUAUUUGCUGAAAACGUGCAAAUAUUAAAUGAUAGAUGAUUUACAGUAAUCAACUAUCUUCUUAAAAUAUUUACAGUAAUCAACUAUCUUCUUAAAAUAGAAAUACCAUGUUUUUGUACCUUUCUUUAAAAUUCAGCAUGGUAUCCUUCAUUAUAUAAAUAAGUAUUGAAUAGAAUUGCUCUUUCUGACUUUGUAAUUUGAACUAAAAUUGAACUGAAUUUUUAAAUAAAGAACAAUAAUAACC